Molecule: ribosomal RNA, 293 nt
Filed under: uncultured bacterium
Lineage: Bacteria
Description: partial 16S ribosomal RNA
Rfam family: Bacterial small subunit ribosomal RNA
Source: RNAcentral
UAGGGAAUCUUCCACAAUGGACGCAAGUCUGAUGGAGCAACGCCGCGUGAGUGAAGAAGGCUUUCGGGUCGUAAAACUCUGUUAUUGAAGAAGAACGUGUGUGACAGUAACUGGUCAUGCAGUGACGGUAUUCAAUCAGAAAGUCACGGCUAACUACGUGCCAGCAGCCGCGGUAAUACGUAGGUGGCAAGCGUUGUCCGGAUUUAUUGGGCGUAAAGCGAGUGCAGGCGGUCUUUUAAGUCUGGUGUGAAAGCCUUCGGCUUAACCGAAGAAGGGCAUCGGAAACUGGGAGA